GAUGAACGCUGGCGGCGUGCCUAACACAUGCAAGUCGAGCGAAGCAUUUCAAAGGAAGUUUUCGGAUGGAAUUUGAAAUGACUGAGCGGCGGACGGGUGAGUAACGCGUGGGUAACCUGCCUCAUACAGGGGGAUAGCCAUUGGAAACGAUGAUUAAAACCUCAUAACGCCGGAGAGUCACAUGGUUUUCCGGCCAAAGAUUUAUCGGCAUAAGAUGGGCCUGCGUCUGAUUAGUUAGUUGGUGGGGUAACGGCCUACCAAGGCGACGAUCAGUAGCCGACCUGAGAGGGUGAUCGGCCACAUUGGAACUGAGACACGGUCCAA
This 324-nucleotide ribosomal RNA is filed under the name uncultured bacterium. RNAcentral describes it as "bacterial SSU rRNA". It matches the Rfam family "Bacterial small subunit ribosomal RNA", at positions 28 to 334 of the family's 1533-position model. The record is from RNAcentral.